AACGAACGCUGGCGGCGCGCCUAAUACAUGCAAGUCGAGCGAGAAGACGUAGCAAUACGUUUGUAAAGCGGCGAACGGGUGAGGGAAUACAUGGGUAACCUACCCUCGAGUGGGGAAUAACUAGCCGAAAGGUUAGCUAAUACCGCGUACGCUCCUUGGACUUCGGUUCAGGGAGGAAAGCGAUACCGUGGGUAUCGCGCUCUUGGAUGGGCUCAUGUCCUAUCAGCUUGUUGGCGAGGAACGGCUCACCAAGGCUUCGACGGGUAGCUGGUCUGAGAGGACGAUCAGCCACACUGGCACUGCGACACGGGCCAGACUCCUACGGGAGGCAGCAGUAAGGAAUAUUGCGCAAUGGGCGAAAGCCUGACGCAGCGACGCCGCGUGGGGGAUGAAGGUCUU
This 399-nucleotide ribosomal RNA is filed under the name uncultured bacterium. RNAcentral describes it as "bacterial SSU rRNA". It matches the Rfam family "Bacterial small subunit ribosomal RNA", at positions 29 to 418 of the family's 1533-position model. The record is from RNAcentral.